AAUACUCACAACACCUUGUAGCGUACUGCGGUCUCCUCCAUGGGUGGGAACUGUCGGUCUCCAUGGUGAGACUCUGACGUUAAUGGUCUGGAAUAUUCUCAGAUCCAGUUCCAGUAGCUCAGUUCCUUUGAAGUUUGAAGGAGAAGCAAAGUGUCUUGCUGGAAGAGAACUAUCGCAAGCCAUCCACUGUGUUGCAGAACCCCAUCGCGAGCCAUCCACUGUGUUGCAGAACCAUCGCGAGCCUUCCACUGUGUUGCAGAACCAUCGCAAGCCAUCCACUGUGUUGCAGAACCAUCGUGAGCUUUCCACUGUGUUGCCAGAACCAUCAGAGCCUUCCUACUGUGUUAUAAAACCAGCGCAAUAACCAGCGCAAACGUUCCAGCAAAGCAGCGCGAGCAUUCUCCAGGCAUGGAAGGAUAGAGCUGGAUCAUCGGAUCCAGUGCAGGCUGCAGGAACUAUUGUACAGACAAGCCAUGCUGCUCUGGGACCCAGGGAGGAUUACCUGGGCAUGUCCUAUAUUUAGUAUGGAAGGAGAAGGCAGGGCUUAUCUGUACGCCCCCACAUCUCUCUUUAGGGGAGGGGCUGAGUCAACGCCCACUACUACCAUUGUAUGAUAAUAAAUUAUUAUACUCUUGAGAAAACUAAUAAGAGGUGGUGUGUGUAGGUGGAUUGUCUCUGCAUGUAUGUAUGGAGCUGUGAAGAUGAGUGGCUGGCUACAUGUCCAGUGUCUCGUGCAUUCUAUGAUGUGUAGGUUGAUGUCUGCACAACAAAGCUCCAUUGUGUACAGUAUCCUUGUGGGGCCACCCUAACUGCAUCUAUAUACACAACAGAUGAGUAGCUCCAUUGUGCACAGCAUCCUUGUGGGGCCACCCUAACUGCAUCUAUACACAACAGAUGAGUAGCUCCAUUGUGUACAGUAUCCUUGUGGGGCCACUCUAACUGCAUCUAUACACAACAGAUGAAUAGCUCCAUUGUGUACAGUAUCCUUGUGGGGCCACCCUAACUGCAUCUAUAUACACAACAGAUGAGUAGCUCCAUUGUGCACAGCAUCCUUGAGGGGCCACCCUAACUGCAUCUAUACACAACAGAGGAGUAGCUCCAUUGUGUACAGCAUCCUUGUGGGGCCACUCUAACUGCAUCUAUACACAACAGAGGAGUAGCUCCAUUGUGUACAGCAUCCUUGUGGGGCCACUCUAACUGCAUCUAUACACAACAGAUGAGUAGCUCCAUUGUGCACAGCAUCCUUGAGGGCCACCCUAACUGCAUUUAUACACAACAGAUGAGUAGCUCCAUUGUGCACAGCAUCCUUGAGGGCCACCCUAACUGCAUCUAUACACAACAGAUGAGUAGUUCCAUUGUGCACAGCAUCCUUGAGGGCCACCCUAACUGCAUCUAUACACAACAGAUGAGUACCUAGUGAUGUCUUUCAUACUGUUUGUAGGUUCAUUGAUUGCUGUGAAGACCAAGAUAAGUAGUCUGCUAUGUUGGGUCGUUCAUUAUCCCUAUGUAGGUUGAUGGUUGUGGAGCCACUGUAACAGCAUACACACAGAUGAGUAGCUAGCUAUGUUGUGUGACAAGUCUUUCAUGCCCUCUGUGCAGGUUGAUUGUGUGUGGAGGAGCCACUGAACAGCAUACACACAGAUGAGUAGCUAGCUAUGUUGUGUGUCACGUCUUCACGAUUCCUAUACUUACAGGUUGAUUGCUUGGGAUGGACAGCAGUAACCAACACUACAAGCAGCUCAACUCUUAUUCUGAUUGGCUGCUGCAACAAUGAUUGUUGUAAAUAGUAGUUCUUAUGCAACAAUUAUUUUAUGUUUUGUAUUUUUUAUGACAACAAUUAUUUUUUUAUUGAGAGUUGACAACUGAUGAUAUCACUAUUGAUAGUUUGAA
This is a long non-coding RNA of Halichondria panicea, 1890 nucleotides long. RefSeq lists it as uncharacterized. The record is from RefSeq and is a predicted model, not a curated record. The transcript is spliced from 3 exons. NCBI's taxonomy places the organism in Eukaryota, Metazoa, Porifera, Demospongiae, Suberitida, Halichondriidae.